GAUAACAAAGCUGAAAUAAUUCCUUUGCUAGUUUAAGACAAUGCUUAAUAUUCAAGGAACCAGUUCAUUUGUUUAUUUAUUUCCUUGAUAAAUUUAUGUUUAUUCUAUAAUACGUAGCUUUGUUAAUCUGAAAUGUUCUAAUGUUUUUCAACAUUAUUAUUUCUCAGAAUUCCAAUUGCGAUUUUUAAUUGAAGUAUUAUUUUUAUUUCUUUGCUUUGUAACUUUUAUGUUAAGAAACUAAGUUUGCAGUGUUCAUUCCUGAUCUUAAAAAGGGCAGGGCACUGGAAACUGAAAAAAGCUCUUAAAAAAGGGCGCCCAACACAAAAAAGAGCAUUAUUUACAAAUAUUUGCUUCACUUUUAUGACACCUAAUAUAUACAAAAUUUUUAAUUUUAUCAAUAAAAUUUUUGUUAGAGAUAAUUAGUUUAAACUAAAAAAUAAAUCCAAGGUUAAAUUGGCACAUUCUAUAAAUUGGUUUUAAAAUUAGUGUAAUCCUCAAAUUUUGAGAAAGUUGUGUAUCAUAAAAAUAACUUAUUAAAUAUAUCGAACACAUGUUUUUUUUCCUUUUAAUAUAUUGGGGUGCAAAAUCAGGUUCAAAAAGCAUUUGGGACAAAAUUUUUUAUUCAAAAGGCAAAUGGGACCCCUUGCAAACCUUGCCUAGAAGUUUAUAUGAACAAUAAUUUCCCUGAUUGGUGUGUUUUUCUUUUAAAAAUUGCCAUUAUGUGCACCAAGGGAAACAAUUAAUUUGGAUGAAUAUUACAAAUGUUGUCUAAAAUAAUUUUAUGAAUCGCACCUAACAGUGGUUAUGUGUUUUUCUUCUUUUUGUUGUUAGUUGCAAACUUUUACUAAUGAAAGUUAAAUGUUAAUAGUUAAAUGUAAAUGAAAAGUUCAGUAGAAAAAAUUUUUGAAAGCAAAAAUUUUAGUUCCUUAUCUACUACAUAUCUAAUUAAUUAGCUUAUUUAACAAUGAUUGCUUAUAUAUUUUUAAAUUGUCAUUUAUAUUGGUUAUGAGUUUGUAAAGACAAAUUUUAUUGCUAUUGGUAAUAUUUGACAAAAUUAUCUUAGAAAACAGUGAAUUUAAAAUUUAUUUCGAAAGCUCAAUUCAUUUUGUUAUCAAUUGCAUGUACUAAUGUUAAUAAAAUUGUUCUCUUAAAUAAUAAAAUUAAAGUCAAGUUGCCAUUUAAUGAAUUUUACGUUUAAGAUUAUGUUUUUGUUCUUCUGUGAUGUAGUUCAUUUAUUGUACCCUUAUUAAGUAAGUUUGGUUUAACAGAAAAUGAACGCAUCAUUUUUGUUUAUUCAUUUUCCAAAUUUUUUAGUACUGUGUAUUAGUUUAUUUAUUUUCUUUCUUAUUUAUCAUAAGGGUAAAAAAAUAAGGAACAUUUUAAUGCAUUGGAUUUAAUAGAGUUCUUAUUUCCUAUAUUAUAAAAUUUAUCCUGUUAUUUCAGUCUAAAUAUCCGAUUUACUAUUAGUUAUAUGAUAUAUAUUUACAGAAUUUUGUUCUAGACUGACCUUACACUUUGAUCACCAUAAUAGUAAGGCCACUUUUGUAAUGACAUUUUUUUUGUUUUCCAGUGCAUAACUGUAAUGAAAAGAAUGCAGUACUUUAAUAGAAAUCCAGAACAACCUUUUUUAAUUCUUUAGUGAAAACAAUUAACUUUUCCAGCUUCCUAUACAGUUUGAUUAUGAGGUUCCUUACAAACCAGGCAUGUUAAUGACAAUAAUAGAAAUAAAUUGUAACUAAUGAUAUUUUAUUAUUGUCUAUAUGCUUAAUGCUAAUACAUUUACAUAUUUAUAACUGCCAACUCUAGAGAAGUUUUCGAUAGUUUACUCGAUUGUCCAGUAGGUUUCUGGAUUCAUUUCAUUGUUUUGUUAAGAAAAUUUCGUAAAAACUAGUUCAGUUAACUUUUUGUUCACUGCACUUUUUUUGUAUUAGUUCUUUACAACUAUUUAAAAUAAAUUCAGUUUUGAAAACUAGAAUUUGUAAAAUAUCAGCAUAAUAAAUACUUAUUGAGUAAGUAUUUAUUAUCAAAUCUUGACUGUUCCCUUUCAGUAAUCCUUGACACCAUUAAUUCCUUUAACAACAUGCAUUGUAAACUUGAGUUUUCAUGCAUCGUAAAGUAAACUCUUCUCAUUUGCAUUCUAGGGUCCACGUGAGAGCAGCAUACCUUUUUUUCUCUAGCCAUUAUUUGUAAAAUUAUAAGUGCAAGUAAUAUUUAUGUUCAUUUAAAUACAACUGCAGACUAAAAGCAUGCAGCUAAUUUAAAAUAGCAGUUUCCUUUAAUUGUUCAUAAAAUCUCUAAAAUUUCCUUUUUCUAGACAGUUAUCUAUAAGGUUCGAGAGUUGAUGUGAAAUUUAAAUUUUUGUAAAAUUCUUAGAUUGAUUUUCUUUUCAUGCUGACAACUAUGCUUAUUUAUGUACUUAAUUUAAAAUAUUUUUUUUCUAUCUAGAUGAUGAAAAUGUUUGAGGUGCUUGAAAUCUUUUAGGAAACUGAAGGUUGCAAUCAUGGAUUGAUGGUGAUAUCAUUAGUAGUCAAAACAAAAAGCUAUCAGCUGAUCUGAUCAUUAUUUACUCCAAAUAAAACCGAAAGUUGAAAAGUGUCUUUCAAUGGAAGCAGAAGAUGCUGGUGCUGAGUGUAAGAAAGAAAAA
Molecule: non-coding RNA, 2644 nt
Organism: Parasteatoda tepidariorum (common house spider)
Lineage: Eukaryota; Metazoa; Arthropoda; Arachnida; Araneae; Theridiidae
Source: RefSeq, a predicted model, not a curated record